RNAcentral lists this ribosomal RNA (253 nucleotides) under uncultured bacterium. RNAcentral's name for it is "partial 16S ribosomal RNA". It matches the Rfam family "Bacterial small subunit ribosomal RNA", at positions 524 to 776 of the family's 1533-position model. The record is from RNAcentral.
CACGUAGGGGGCUAGCGUUGUCCGGAUUUAUUGGGCGUAAAGAGCGUGUAGGCGGCCAGGUAGGUCCGGUGUGAAAACUCGAGGCUUAACCUCGAGAUGUCAUCGGAAACCAUCUGGCUAGAGUCCGGAAGAGGAGAGUGGAAUUCCUGGUGUAGCGGUGAAAUGCGCAGAUAUCAGGAAGAACACCAAUGGCGAAGGCAGCUCUCUGGGACGGUACUGACGCUGAGACGCAAAAGCGUGGGGAGCGAACAGG